Vigna unguiculata (cowpea) is the source of this 1852-nucleotide RNA transcript. It is a transcript of the gene named magnesium transporter MRS2-2-like, with no coding region annotated. The record is from RefSeq and is a predicted model, not a curated record. Lineage: Eukaryota; Viridiplantae; Streptophyta; Magnoliopsida; Fabales; Fabaceae.
CCUCGUUUCAGUUAUUUCUUCACCCCGCAUUUCAUGCAUUGUCACGCUUCCCCGUAUAAAUCACACAACAUCAAAGACGGACGCAAAUUAACACAAAUUUACUAACAAACAUAGUUUUGUCUGUUUCAUCUCUCUGGAGAAAGGAAAAAAAGGGAAAGGUUUCUUUUUUGGGGAUCUUAUGUUUGUUUCUUGUGGGAAUCUGAUUCCUCAUGGUGGUGUUGGAAAAAAAAUUUUGAGACCGGAGGGAUGCUCAAUUGGCGUGUGUUGAUCAAAUGUGCAAAAGGGGAGUGAGAAAAUUCGAUUGUGGUGUCAGGGGUGGGUUUUGUUGAAUUGAAUCAAGUUUGAAGUUGAAUUGAAUUUUGAACCGAGUCUGGUAUCGGGGCAUGUGAUUGGAGUUGAGAGUGGGAACGGGUAAGGGAUGGCGCGGGAUGGGAGCGUCGUCCCUGCGGAUCCGCAGGCGAUUGUGAAGAAGAAGACACAGUCGUCGAGAAGUUGGAUUAUGUUCGAUGCUACAGGGCAGGGCUCAUUGCUGGACGCGGACAAAUAUGCGAUCAUGCAUCGGGUUCAGAUUCAUGCGCGUGAUCUCAGAAUCCUUGAUCCCUUGCUUUCUUACCCCUCCACCAUUCUCGGUCGUGAGAAGGCCAUUGUUCUUAACUUGGAGCAUAUCAAGGCAAUUAUCACCGCGGAAGAGGUAUUGUUGAGAGAUCCAACAGAUGAAAAUGUGAUCCCUGUUGUCGAGGAACUGCAAAGGCGGUUGCCUCAAUCAAGUGCCGGUCUUCAACAGCAAGGAGAUGGUAAAGAGUAUCUUGGUGGCCAAAAUGAUGCUGAAGCAGCUGAAGAUGAUGAGUCACCAUUUGAAUUCCGGGCCCUGGAAGUUGCUUUAGAAGCCAUUUGCAGUUUUCUUGCUGCACGUACAACAGAAUUGGAGAUGGCUGCUUAUCCUGCACUAGAUGAACUUACCUCCAAGAUUAGUAGUCGUAAUUUGGACAGAGUUCGUAAACUGAAGAGCGCAAUGACAAGGCUGACGGCUAGAGUACAAAAGGUCAGAGAUGAGCUGGAACAAUUGCUGGAUGAUGAUGAUGAUAUGGCUGACCUAUACCUGUCAAGAAAAGCAGGUUCAUCAUCACCGGUCAGUGGAACAGGUGCUUCAAAUUGGUUUGCUUCCUCCCCCACCUUAGGAUCAAGGAUAUCUAGGGCAAGUAGAGCAAGUCUAGCAACAGUACGUUUAGAUGAAAAUGAUGUGGAAGAGCUUGAAAUGUUACUAGAGGCUUAUUUUAGUGAAAUUGAUCAUACGUUGAACAAAUUAACCACAGUAAGUAUCAUCUGCGGGAGUACAUUGAUGAUACUGAAGAUUAUAUUAAUAUUCAACUUGACAACCAUCGCAAUCAGCUCAUUCAGUUAGAGCUCUUUCUUAGCUCUGGAACUGUUUGCCUAUCUUUCUACUCUUUGGUGACUGCAAUAUUUGGCAUGAAUAUCCCAUAUACUUGGAACGACAACCAUGAUUACAUGUUCAAAUGGGUAGUUAUCAUCUCAGGAGUACUUUCUGCUUUGAUGUUUGUCAUAAUUACAGCCUAUGCUCGCAAUAAGGGAUUAGUUGGAUCGUGAAAAUAAUUUACUGGGAAGGGGUAUGAAUCAUGUAUAUAGUUGUCUAAUAAUUAUGUUGUGCAGCAUUUUGUUAGAGUUAGUUCAACAUAUAUGGAUGAGUUAUGGGUUCGCGUUAGUACCAAUGAGGGUGUUAGCCUUUGGAUAAGCUAUUUUGUUAUGUGAUUCAGUCAUUAUCAUAACACAUUGUAAAUACUGUUUACACAGUCACAUUUGAUUCCUUCUUCUGAAUAAGCUUAAUUUCUAGAUA